This 944-nucleotide ribosomal RNA is filed under the name uncultured bacterium. RNAcentral describes it as "bacterial SSU rRNA". It matches the Rfam family "Bacterial small subunit ribosomal RNA", at positions 1 to 917 of the family's 1533-position model. RNAcentral also lists the same sequence under 1 other name. The record is from RNAcentral.
UGGAUCCAGACUUUGAUUCUGGCUCAGGACGAACGCUGGCGGCGUGCUUAACACAUGCAAGUCGAACGAGAAGAGAUGAGAAGCUUGCUUCUUAUUGAUUCGAGUGGCAAACGGGUGAGUAACGCGUAAGCAACCUGCCCUCUAGAUGGGGACAACAGCUGGAAACGGCUGCUAAUACCGAAUACGUUCUUUCUGUCGCAUGGCAGAGGGAAGAAAGGGAGGCUCUUUGGAGCUUUCGCUGGAGGAGGGGCUGCGUCUGAUUAGCUAGUUGGAGGGGUAACGGCCCACCAAGGCGACGAUCAGUAGCCGGUCUGAGAGGAUGAACGGCCACAUUGGGACUGAGACACGGCCAGACUCCUACGGGAGGCAGCAGUGGGGAAUCUUCCGCAAUGGACGAAAGUCUGACGGAGCAACGCCGCGUGAACGAUGACGGCCUUCGGGUUGUAAAGUUCUGUUAUACGGGACGAAUGGUACGACGGUCAAUACCCGUCGUAAGUGACGGUACCGUAAGAGAAAGCCACGGCUAACUACGUGCCAGCAGCCGCGGUAAUACGUAGGUGGCAAGCGUUGUCCGGAAUUAUUGGGCGUAAAGGGCGCGCAGGCGGCGUCGUAAGUCGGUCUUAAAAGUGCGGGGCUUAACCCCGUGAGGGGACCGAAACUGCGAUGCUAGAGUAUCGGAGAGGAAAGCGGAAUUCCUAGUGUAGCGGUGAAAUGCGUAGAUAUUAGGAGGAACACCAGUGGCGAAAGCGGCUUUCUGGACGACAACUGACGCUGAGGCGCGAAAGCCAGGGGAGCAAACGGGAUUAGAUACCCCGGUAGUCCUGGCCUUAAACGAUGGAUACUAGGUGUAGGAGGUAUCGACCCCUUCUGUGCCGGAGUUAACGCAAUAAGUAUCCCGCCUGGGGAGUACGGCCGCAAGGCUGCAACUCAAAUGAAUUGACGGA